GAGUUUGAUCCUGGCUCAGAGCGAACGUUAGCGGCGGGCUUAACACAUGCAAGUCGUGCGAGAAAGGUCCUUCGGGGCUGAGUAAAGCGGCGCACGGGUGCGUAACACGUAGGUAAUCUACCCUCGGGCGGGGGAUAACGUUUCGAAAGAGACGCUAAUACCGCAUAAGACCACGACCACUACGGUGGAUGUGGGAAAAGAUGGCCUCUCCAUGGAAGCUAUCACCUGAGGAUGAGCCUGCGGCCCAUCAGCUUGUUGGUGAGGUAACGGCUCACCAAGGCUAAGACGGGUAGCUGGUCUGAGAGGAUGAUCAGCCACACUGGCACUGGAACACGGGCCAGACUCCUACGGGAGGCAGCAGUGGGGAAUAUUGGACAAUGGGCGAAAGCCUGAUCCAGCCACGCCGCGUGAGUGAUGAAGGCCUUCGGGUUGUAAAGCUCUGUGGGGAAGGACGAAAACGGCACGGAACAAUACCCGUGUCCUUGACGGUACUUCCUUAGCAAGCACCGGCUAACUCUGUGCCAGCAGCCGCGGUAAGACAGAGGGUGCAAACGUUGCUCGGAAUCACUGGGCGUAAAGCGCGUGUAGGCUGAUUCGUAAGUCGGGUGUGAAAUCCCUGGGCUCAACCUAGGAACUGCAUCCGAAACUGCGUAUCUAGAGUGUCGGAGAGGGAAGCGG
This 678-nucleotide ribosomal RNA is filed under the name uncultured Polyangiaceae bacterium. RNAcentral's name for it is "bacterial SSU rRNA". It matches the Rfam family "Bacterial small subunit ribosomal RNA", at positions 9 to 664 of the family's 1533-position model. The record is from RNAcentral. Lineage: Bacteria; Pseudomonadati; Myxococcota; Polyangiales; Polyangiaceae.